GUAGUACUCCCUCCGUUCGGAAUUACUUGUCUCGAAAAUGGAUGUAUUUAGAACUAAAAUACAUCUAGAUGCAUUCAUUUCUGCGACAAGUAAUUCUGAACGGAGGGAGUACAAG
This is a non-coding RNA of Triticum aestivum (bread wheat), 115 nucleotides long. NCBI's taxonomy places the organism in Eukaryota, Viridiplantae, Streptophyta, Magnoliopsida, Poales, Poaceae. The record is from Rfam.